RNAcentral lists this ribosomal RNA (267 nucleotides) under uncultured bacterium. Its description in RNAcentral is "partial 16S ribosomal RNA". It matches the Rfam family "Bacterial small subunit ribosomal RNA", at positions 793 to 1055 of the family's 1533-position model. The record is from RNAcentral.
GUCCUGGCAGUAAACGGUGCACGUUUGGUGUGGGAGGAUUCGACCCCUUCCGUGCCGGAGCUAACGCGUUAAACGUGCCGCCUGGGAAGUACGGUCGCAAGAUUAAAACUCAAAGAAAUUUACGGGGGCCCGCACAAGCGGUGGAGUAUGUGGCUUAAUUCGAUGCAACGCGAAGAACCUUACCAGGGUUUGACAUGCAUCUCUAAGUCGGUGAAAGCCGGCGAGUGUAGCAAUACACAAUUUGCACAGGUGCUGCAUGGCUGUCGU